GACUGAUAGUGUGAGUAUAAAUGAUUAAGUUAAAUGAUUAAAAAGGUUUUUAAAAGUGAAAUUAACUAUAAUAGUAAAGGGUGAAAUUUGGUGUUUUUAGGUAGUUGAGUUUAUUUUUAAAUGUAUUUGAGGUCGUGAAGGUUUAGGUUUAAAUCAGGAUUAGAUACCCUGUUAUACUUUACUGAAAUUUUGUAAUACUUGAGUAGUAAGCAGUUAUGGUCUUUAAACUUAAAGGAUUUGGCGGUAUUUUAGUCUAGUUAGAGGAACCUGUUCUAUAAACGAUAGACCACGAAUAAUCUUACUCUUUUUAGUAAAAUCAGUUUGUAUACCGUCAUUAUCAGACGAUCUUUAUAAAGAUUCGUUAAAAUAGAAGUUUUUAAUAUAUUAGAUCAAGGUGCAGCCAAUAAGAGAGAAAGUAAUGGGUUACAUUAAUAUAAAUUUAUACGAAAUAGGAGCUGAGGAAGUGUUCUAAAGAAGGUGGAUUUAAUAGUAAUUUUAUUUUAAUAAGGUAAAAUGAUAGGGGCUCUAAGAUAUGUACACAUCGCCCGUCGCUCUCACUUUUAAUGU
This 567-nucleotide ribosomal RNA is filed under the name Fresnerhynchus crozeti. Its description in RNAcentral is "partial 12S ribosomal RNA". The record is from RNAcentral. Lineage: Eukaryota; Metazoa; Arthropoda; Malacostraca; Decapoda; Lipkiidae.